AGUCCAUUGUGCCCGUGAAAAUGCGCGCUGGCCACGCUAGGCUAAAAAAUAUUAGAAAGCCUACGGCUUAAUUUANGUAUAAUACCUGUAUAACAACUGUAUAACAACUGUACUGUUACAACUACUUCUGUGUGGGUUUAAGCUUACAGUCGGGUGUCGGUUCGGGCCAUAUAACACUCUUAGCAGCGUAGGACUAGCAAAUAAAGACUCGUUCACUGUAGCCCACAGGGCGAGUGUCCUAGUGGGGAUGCCUUGGACUAUUUGCUAAUCUGAAACAGCCUAGAAGGUCAUGACCGACCGGCCUCGGUCAUCACGACAGCACCUGGCGGCUCUGCGCUCCCUUAUGGGAGCGCAACUCUUGCCAGCAGUCGUUCAUUCUACGGAUGCCGGACGGGACGGUCAUUGACCCCUGUACGCACUGGAGAUCGGGGAGGCGUCUGCACUGUAUCUUACCAAGGAGGGCGGUCCAGCCUGCCUGGGCUGGCCGCUGGGUGGAUAUGACGCCGGAGGGGCAGCCUAUACUUGGGCAGUAAAAUUAGCUUAAACCUGCAUGCGUUGAUUUAUACAAAAUACAAGAGCUGGGCCUAAGAUAAAGUCCAUUGCGCCCGUGAAAACGCGCGCUGGCCACCCUAGGCUUAAAAAAUAUUAGGGAGCCUGCGGCUUAAUUUGACUCAACACGGGGAAACUCACCAGGUCCAGACACAACGAGGAUUGACAGAUUGAGAGCUCUUUCUUGAUUUUGUGGGUGGUGGUGCAUGGCCGUUCUUAGUUGGUGGAGUGAUUUGUCUGCUUAAUUGCGAUAACGAACGAGACCUUAACCUGCUAAAUAGCCCGUAUUGCUUUGGCAGUACGCCGGCUUCUUAGAGGGACUAUCGGCUCAAGCCGAUGGAAGUUUGAGGCAAUAACAGGUCUGUGAUGCCCUUAGAUGUUCUGGGCCGCACGCGCGCUACACUGACACAGCCAGCGAGUUCUUCCUUGGCCGAAAGGCCCGGGUAAUCUUGUUAAACUGUGUCGUGCUGGGGAUAGAGCAUUGCAAUUAUUGCUCUUCAACGAGGAAUCCCUAGUAAGCGCAAGUCAUCAGCUUGCGUUGAUUACGUCCCUGCCCUUUGUACACACCGCCCGUCGCUACUACCGAUUGGAUGGCUCAGUGAGGCCUUCGGACUGGCCCAGGGAGGUGGGCAACUACCACCCAGGGCCGGAAAGUUGUACGAACUCGGCCAUUUAGAGGAAGUAAAAGUCGUAACAAGGUCUCCGUUGGUGAACCAGCGGAGG
RNAcentral lists this ribosomal RNA (1272 nucleotides) under Pseudohalonectria lignicola. Its description in RNAcentral is "bacterial SSU rRNA". The stretch from base 623 to 1272 matches the Rfam family "Eukaryotic small subunit ribosomal RNA", at positions 1117 to 1823 of the family's 1831-position model. The record is from RNAcentral. Lineage: Eukaryota; Fungi; Ascomycota; Sordariomycetes; Magnaporthales; Ophioceraceae.